GCGACGGGCACCCAGCGAAGCCAAUCAGAGAUGGAAGUAGUGCUCUGAGGGUGGGCGCCGCUUGGUACCACCCUCCUCGCCCUCGGUGUCCUGGAGAAAGGCGGAAGGAAUGCGGACCUUUUUGAAGUGACGGACGCGCCAGCCUAUCAGGGGCGAGCUCAAGAGGGCGGGGCGGAAGACUGCAGGAAUGAAAUGGAUUGACAGACCAAAUAACUAAUGAGAGGCUUGAUUGAGAACCUACCCGACUAUCAGAGGACCUGUCCGGGAAGAGAAAUGGGGCUACGUCCAGUUUCCUCCUCUGUAAACUGAAGAAACCCGUCUCAUGGAAU
This 329-nucleotide long non-coding RNA is filed under the name Homo sapiens (human). RNAcentral describes it as "non-protein coding RAB11B-AS1:3". The record is from RNAcentral. Lineage: Eukaryota; Metazoa; Chordata; Mammalia; Primates; Hominidae.